Molecule: long non-coding RNA, 1179 nt
Organism: Papaver somniferum (opium poppy)
Lineage: Eukaryota; Viridiplantae; Streptophyta; Magnoliopsida; Ranunculales; Papaveraceae
Exons: 8
Source: RefSeq, a predicted model, not a curated record
UCAAUCUCUCGAUUCUUGUCUCUCCAUUCUCUUCCAUCAUGUCUGAAAUUCGAAGAUUUCUGAGAUCUCAAUCCCAAAUCAAGGCAACCUAUUUAUUUUUCGCCUUAGGGUAUUGAGGUUUACAUAUAGAAGUUGUUUUAGGGUUCACUCUCUCUUCUCUAAUCUCCAAAAACUCUCAAGACCAGCAGCACAAAGAAGAAGAAAAACCCUAAACUUCUCAUUUCCUUGGUUUUUGAUUUGAGAGAUCGUGAAGAGGAACAAUGCUUUCCUCAUCAAAGAGUUUGAAAAUGGAAAUCAGAUGGUUCAGUUCAGUAAAGAACCUAACGAUCUCUACAACGUCAACUCCUUCAAACAGUCUGGGUUAACAAAUGCAAAAACUGUUUCAGUCAAGCUGGAAAAGAUUAAGGUGUUGUUCUUGCUACUACGACUAAGACUAACAAGCAAAAGAACCCUUCAAGUUUGGUGCAGAAAACUGUCAUGAAGAAGGAAUUCAGUAUAAUAGCUAAGGCUGUUGCCAACCAGUUGAUGGCAAAGUUUCGCAAGGGAAAUCAACAGUUACAAUUUAGCAUUUGACUGGUGAAGCCAAACCUGGGGAGAUGAAAGUUGGGGAUAGGAUCCCUGCUGGUGCAAGUAAUUUGGAUGUAUGAUGAUAGUGAAGGCGACGAAAACAUGGGAUGAGUCAACAUUACACAGGAUUGUCCAGUAGAUGAAUGGAGAAGUAUACACAUGGGGCUUAAGUAGUUUCUAUGUUUUGGAUAUCAUUUUGGAGGAUGUUGGAUAUCAUUUUGGAGGAUGCUGGAGUCUAAAUCCUUUUACAGGAAUCAUCCAACUAUAUUGAAUCCACACCAGCAUAUUUCUGAUACUUAAUUCACGAUCGGUCAAAGUCGGAACUGCAACUUAUGGCUAAGCAGAGCAACAAGAUAUUUGCUGAGACUUCUGCAUCCAAAACUCCUGCUGACAAGAAGGCUAAAUUGAGAGGUAGAAGAGAACGGAGAAGAACAUGAAGAGCAGGGAACCCAGGAAGAAGAGGUUGUUGAGGUCGAAGCUGAUUCCACAGAUAUGAGCAAUAAGUGCCACUUAAGAAGCUAUACUUGUUUGAGCAUGUAGGUAAUGAAUGAUGUUGAGCUUGUCUCCAGGUCUUGUGCCUUUAAGAUUGUAUACUACUGUUAUUACACUUAA